UUUAACUGGCAACUCACAAGAGUACGCCCUAGCCGCCUAACCGCGGCUACAUCCACCACUCCUUCCCUCCGAGAGGGGUGACUGGGUGCCAUAUUAUCGGAGGAAGGCCUGACAGACGCCGAUAUCGACUGGCCUAACCCAUCGGCUGGCUCUGAGAAGUUACCCGUCGGUAAGUGCUUCCUAGAGCGAGACUCAAUUACCGACUAAGCCUGUAGUACAUCCUUGUCGGAGAGUCUUCUGGACGGGGAGUUCGACCCUCCCCCGUCUCCACCA
This 273-nucleotide transfer-messenger RNA is filed under the name Chloroflexota bacterium. RNAcentral's name for it is "Chloroflexi bacterium partial transfer-messenger RNA". It matches the Rfam family "transfer-messenger RNA", at positions 86 to 374 of the family's 374-position model. From Rfam's summary of the family: Bacterial tmRNA, also known as 10Sa RNA or SsrA, is named for its dual tRNA and mRNA-like properties. Its role is to liberate the mRNA from a stalled ribosome. To accomplish this part of the tmRNA is used as a reading frame that ends in a translation stop signal. The record is from RNAcentral. Lineage: Bacteria; Bacillati; Chloroflexota.